This is a non-coding RNA of Biomphalaria pfeifferi, 236 nucleotides long. The record is from the annotation of a GenBank genome assembly. Lineage: Eukaryota; Metazoa; Mollusca; Gastropoda; Planorbidae.
CAUAGUUGAAGCCUUUAUUAUAAUUGUUUUUAGUUCAAAAAAGAGUCACAAUAGACAUUGAAUGAAUCUUAUGUACAUAUUGUUUCACAAAAGCUUAGAACAUUGGUAACAUCAUCAGAGUAUAACAUAGUGACUAGUUUUAAAAAAAAGUGUGAGGAUAUUUAACAAAAUGUAAUGAGGCGUUGUUUUUGUUGUAGCCAGUGUGUGUAUUUAAAUCAAAUGUCUUGUGUUUUGUA